This is a long non-coding RNA of Onychostoma macrolepis, 477 nucleotides long. RefSeq lists it as uncharacterized. The record is from RefSeq and is a predicted model, not a curated record. The transcript has 3 exons. NCBI's taxonomy places the organism in Eukaryota, Metazoa, Chordata, Actinopteri, Cypriniformes, Cyprinidae.
CUAUACGAGUGACUCUGUCUGAUUCGAUUCACUGAACCAUUCAAAUGAGUCAUUUGUUUGUAAGUCAAACUGAGCACGCUAUAGUAGCAUUACACCUGCUAAGAUAAUUCAAUAUGUGCAAUCUGAAUUUAAUAAUAAUAUUUAUUUUGUGGUAACACUGCCGUGUGGGCAGCUCUGACAGAGAAAACACAUAUGUAAUCUGACAUUUAUUUAUUUUAUUUUUUUACAGAAAUUCUGAGCUGCUGCAUGAACAUUCAUCAAACAUAUAAGGCUGCAAUUUGGAAAAAAACUUUCAAGCUAAUGCUGCUGAAAUGGAGGUCAAGGGGACUAUGAAGAGGUGGCUCCAGCUGAUCAGAAGAGAGGACUUCAGGAGGCAGACACACUCUGUUACAAUAAUCAGCUGAUCCAGUCGGUAUCCAGACCAGACGGUGGACCUGCACCAGGAGUGACCACAACACAUCCCUGACUGUCAGCGGA